AUGAAGAUGGUAUCUUUGCUCUGUGCGUCUUUUAUGGGGAUGAGCAUCUCUGUGGGACAGUUGGUUUANNNNNNNNNNNNNNNNNNNNNNNNNNNNNNNNNNNNNNNNNNNNNNNNNNNNNNNNNNNNNNNNNNNNNNNNNNNNNNNNNNNNNNNNNNNNNNNNNNNNGCCCCAGCCCGUGUGGCGGGGCUCCCCGUGUCGGGGGUGUCCCUCGGGCUCCGUGCCGGCAAGCUGCCGGUGGCUGGAGACGCCUUCAGUCCGACGCCUUCAGGCCCUGAAUGUGUUUUCUGGUUAACUGUUUUUCUGCCUUCCGUACUGCAGAUAGCGCAGAGCCACUGUUUGGCUGCAGAUGCGUGCUUCUAAGUUCAUCUUAAAAAGAAUUGCUGCCAGGAAGAUACUGAUAUAGAAGACAGGUACACACUGCAGAUAUAGAGCACAAAUUUUAUUUCUUUCUCUCAAAACUCUCUUGCUGAUGAACACAUAAAAUAAUUUAAAAACAAAAUAAAACUCUAGCAAAUGCUCCAUUAUCUAGAAAAUGCAAAAGAUUGCAUAUGUGUAACAAUGCAAUUUUAUGGAUUUGUACCUCAGCAUGUUCUAUGUCUGCUAAUCAUAUUUCACUUUAUUUGAAGCAGUCAGCUUUGGGUAGGAGGGUCUGAGAGAGCUGGGCCUGAUCAGCCUGGAGAAGAGGAGGUUCCAGGGGAUCUCAGUGUACUUAGAUACCUGAAGGGAGGGAGCAAAGGGUACAGAACCAGAGUCUUUUCUGUGGUGCCCAGUGCCAGGAUAAGAGGCAACUGAUACAAACUGGAACACGGGAUGUUCCCUCAGAGCACCAGGAGCAUUUCUGUGCUGUGCAGGUGACAGAGCGCUGGCACAGGCUGCCCAGAGGCAGGGUCUGCUCUGUGGGCUCUGCUCCUCAGAGACCUUCAGCAGCUGCCUGGACGUAGGCCUGGGCCCCUGCUCUGGUGUCCCUGCUGCAGCGGGGGAUGGGUCCAAAGGACCCAGAGGACACUGCCAGCCUCAGCCAGUCUGGGGUGCUAUGGUAUGUUUAGAGGUUUAUUUCACUAUCUAUCUAUCUAUCUAUCUAUCUAUCUAUCUAUCUAUUUAUUUAUUUAUUUAUUUAUUUAUUUUCUCCCAGAUGUUUUUGAUGCUUUUUCAGACAGAUGUUUCAGUUAUGGUUCAAUCUACCUAUUCUUCACACAGGAAUGUUGGAAAAGCAAUGAAAGCAGUCUUAGUGCUAUAGCACAUUCCCUUCUAUAUGUUCUGGAAAAUUACUGAGUUGUAACCUGAGGAAAAUAGAGCUCUAGCUGGCACCAGUAAGUGGGUAUUACAACAUGAAUGAACUUCCAUUUCAUGAAUUUGAGUGUGGAUGAGAUAAACAUUAAGGCAAAUGCGCAAAUCAGAGCACAGUUAACUUCCAGUAAAGAAAAGGCUUAAGUUUUAUAAAAUUUCUGGCUUGAAUAUUCAUGAUAGUUCAGACUUUAGUACUGAAGAAAUUACCCGUACAGAGCUUUCUACAGCUCAGAGGGAAAUAAUUUGAGGCCAGAUCUGACUCAAAUCAGUAGGGGAAUUCCCAAGACUUCAGUGCUGUUUACUAAUGAUGUGUAGCACUGAAAGAAAAGCAGUGAUUUAUUAUUUCAAAAGAUCAGACACUUUGUACCACUGGUCCAUGGAAGACAACAUUAGAAAGGAGCACUAUACCAUAGAUACAAGUGUCAUGAAAGAAAAAAGGGAUAUCACUGCAUAUCACACUGGGCAGUGGUACUAUUUAAUUUGCAGCAGAACUGAAGCCAUAGCUUUGGGACUAAAAAGUCUGAAGUUUUACAUGUUGUUUCCUAGGAAACAUUAGAAAGCUGGAAAUCAUAAGAAUGUAACACAGUCUACAGGAGAAAAUGUGUUGGAUCUAGACUGACUUAUCUUUGAUCUAGGCUAGGCUUUGGGACCUGUUAGAAGCUGAUCCUGAACAUGGGCUCUAAAAUACUUAAUUAGAGUUAUUUCCCCAACUCAUCCCAAUUAAGUAGCUGGGAUGUUUGUGAUUUUCAAAACUUUGCUAAGGAAAUGACAUGAACCAAACAUCUCCCUCUGUGUUCGAAUUUGACAUUGUCCUUGAAGGUUUCAUACACUGGAAAGCUUUCAGAAUUGUAACUUAAUGCUCCAUCAGAGGAAAUGAAUCCAUUAACUCAUGUUAGAAUGGAAGACAGGCACAUUCCUGGUAGAAACAAGUUCUUCCAGGUUCAGUAAUUUAAGCCUCCUUAUCUGUUGAUUAAUUUGUAUAAAAUACAUUUUGUUUGUUUGAGAGAGAAGUUCUUUCUGCAUGGAUUUAAAAAUGUCCAUGCAAGCAACAGCAGAAAAAUAAAUGCUCUU
Molecule: long non-coding RNA, 2361 nt
Organism: Meleagris gallopavo (turkey)
Lineage: Eukaryota; Metazoa; Chordata; Aves; Galliformes; Phasianidae
Source: Ensembl